This 254-nucleotide ribosomal RNA is filed under the name uncultured bacterium. RNAcentral describes it as "partial 16S ribosomal RNA". It matches the Rfam family "Bacterial small subunit ribosomal RNA", at positions 524 to 776 of the family's 1533-position model. The record is from RNAcentral.
UACGUAGGGGGCAAGCGUUGUCCGGAUUUAUUGGGCGUAAAGAGCUCGUAGGCGGUUCCGUAAGUCGUGAAGUCAAAUCUCUGGGCUCAACCCAGAAUCGCUUCCGAUACUGCGGUGACUGGAGUCCGGUAGGGGAGUGUGGAAUUCCUGGUGUAGCGGUGAAAUGCGCAGAUAUCAGGAGGAACACCAACAGCGAAGGCAGCACUCUGGGACGGUACUGACGCUGAGACGCGAAAGCGUGGGGAGCAAACAGG